CAAAAGGCCCUUUUAAGGGCCAACCACUUUGUCUCUCAAAAGAGCU
RNAcentral lists this non-coding RNA (46 nucleotides) under Podarcis lilfordi (Lilford's wall lizard). It matches the Rfam family "Histone 3' UTR stem-loop". From Rfam's summary of the family: The mRNAs of metazoan histone genes lack a poly-A tail. Lineage: Eukaryota; Metazoa; Chordata; Lepidosauria; Squamata; Lacertidae. The record is from RNAcentral.